This 253-nucleotide ribosomal RNA is filed under the name uncultured bacterium. RNAcentral describes it as "partial 16S ribosomal RNA". It matches the Rfam family "Bacterial small subunit ribosomal RNA", at positions 524 to 776 of the family's 1533-position model. The record is from RNAcentral.
UACGUAGGGGGCAAGCGUUGUCCGGAUUUAUUGGGCGUAAAGAGCGUGUAGGCGGCCGUACAGGUCAGCUGUGAAAACUCGAGGCUCAACCUCGAGACGUCGGUUGAAACCGUACGGCUAGAGUCCGGAAGAGGAGAGUGGAAUUCCCGGUGUAGCGGUGAAAUGCGCAGAUAUCAGGAGGAACACCCAUAGCGAAGGCAGCUUGCUGGGACGUUACUGACGCUAAGGCGCGAAAGCCAGGGGAGCAAACGGG